UAGAUCUGAAAUUAACACUUCAGUCUAAUUCAGAACUGAAUUUAACUCUGAAGCUACUUUUGAUUCUGAAGUUCAAAUCAGAGAUGUUCAAAAUCACCUGUCUUUAGACUCUCAUAAGUAACACGACAGACAGACUGCAGAUAAUUAGUCUAACGAUGACCUUCAGGGAACGUAAGACUCGGACAGGGUUCUAUGGUGCACACCCAAGUUCGGAAAAUGGCUUGCACAUCAACAAGCAACUCUAGUGUGAAAAAAAACCUUGAGAAGUUCAGCAAUGCACACAAGACUUUAAGCUCUAUUUUAAAGCCGCCCACUCAUUGUGUGUCUCUCCGUCUCCCCAGGGCAACAACGAUGAUGUCAUCCUGUCCUGCUGUCUGCACUACUGUCAGGACAAAGCCAAGGACUUCAUGCCUGCUGAGAGAAAUGGGCUGGUGAGGUUACGCAGGGAGGUGGUCUUGCUCACGGAUGACCGCAAUCUGCGAGUCAAAGCUCUCACACGCAACGUACCAGUCCGGGACAUCCCAGCAUUCCUGAUCUGGGCUAAAGUAGGCUGAAGCACAGAACUGACCUACCGCUGUACAAACCAAUCAUCCUCCACUGCAAAAGUUGGGAGGAGAUGAAGAAAUUGUCACACAGAGAGGAUGAAUAUUAAGGGGAGAAAUACUACAAGCUUUUUGUCAAACCGA
This is a long non-coding RNA of Sinocyclocheilus grahami, 686 nucleotides long. RefSeq lists it as uncharacterized. Lineage: Eukaryota; Metazoa; Chordata; Actinopteri; Cypriniformes; Cyprinidae. The record is from RefSeq and is a predicted model, not a curated record. The transcript is spliced from 2 exons.